RNAcentral lists this long non-coding RNA (489 nucleotides) under Equus asinus (donkey). RNAcentral's name for it is "lncRNA (ENSEASG00005036711.1)". The record is from RNAcentral. Lineage: Eukaryota; Metazoa; Chordata; Mammalia; Perissodactyla; Equidae.
GUUUGUGUGCUUGGAGGUUACUAUUGCAUCAAAUGCUUUCCCGCAUGACACCAUCCCACUACCAACUGCUCCCAUUAGCCUUCCAACUCACCUCCGUUAUCUGCAAGACUAUCUGCCCACUUCGGCAGUCACACAUCUGCUAGCUGAUCUCCUGAAAAUGCAGUUUGACCACGUUCAUUCCAAAACUACAGGACAUCCACCACGUGCCAGGUCUUUCCGAUGACCGCCCAUCGCUGUGGAUUCAUGCUGCCUCUCGGAAUCCAUGUGCAGCCUGCGGAAGACCACUAUGUAACAACUACUUCAAAGAAACCAGCUCUCUGAGGGCGUGUUGAUGUGGAUAAUUCUAAACAGUGGUGAUAGAAUCUUAAAAUUGAGUCGUUCCAUCCACAGUAUAUUUUUGGCAUUGAAGACAGCAGAGUGGAAUGCUACCCAUUCAAACAUUUGCAGCGUCUUUCCCCAUUUCUGGCUACUGCCACAGAAAACUCAGAG